UUUUAAAAAUGCAUCUAAAAUCAAUUAAUAACCAACAUUUCUCUCUCUUGCAUACAUGCACGCACUGAUUGGGCACAACUGGGCUAAACGUAGUCUCAUGCCAAGUAUUUUAUUUUAAUUGUUUUAUUUACAGUCAAAACGCAACAGCAUCAAAUCUGUAUUAAUGCAUCAUAUCUAAGAAUAAUUCAGUGACGAAGCAACUAAGAGAAAUGCCUGUUUUUCCUUCCAUCUGGAAUAAAUUUUACAAAAACAUUGUCAUGGAAGGCUAGUACAUGUAAAGAUGGUGAAAAGAUGUUUAAAACAUUUUAUAUUGUUCUUUGUGAGUUUACAACAUUACGUCGUCAUGUCAACGAAGUUGUAAAAUUAAGGACAUUACGUCGUCAUGACAACAAAGUUGUAAAAUUAAGGACAUUACGUCGUCGUGACAACAAAGUUGUAAAAUUAGGGACAUUACGUCGUCGUGACAGUUGUAAAAUUAGGGACAUUACGUCGUCGUGACAACAAAGUUGUAAAAUUAGGGACAUUACGUCGUCGUGACAACAAAGUUGUAAAAUUAGGGACAUUACGUCGUCGUGACAACAAAGUUGUAAAAUUAGGGACAUUGUCGUCGUGGCAACAAAGUUGUAAAAUUAGGGACAUUACGUCGUCGUGACAGUUGUAAAAUUAGGGACAUUACGUCGUCGUGACAGUUGUAAAAUUAGGGACAUUACGUCGUCGUGACAACAAAGUUGUAAAAUUAGGGACAUUGUCGUCGUGGCAACAAAGUUGUAAAAUUAGGGACAUUACGUCGUCGUGGCAACAAAGUUGUAAAAUUAGGGACAUUACGUCGUCGUGGCAACAAAGUUGUAAAAUUAGGGACAUAACGUCAUCGUGGCAACAAAGUUGUAAAAUUAGGGACAUGUCGUCGUGGCAACAAGGUUGUAAAAUUAGGGACAUAACGUCAUCGUGGCAACAAAGUUGUAAAAUUAGGGCCAUUACGUCGUCGUGGCAACAAAGUUGUAAAAUUAGGGACAUUACGUCGUCGUGGCAACAAAGUUGUAAAAUUAGGGACAUAACGUCAUCGUGGCAACAAAGUUGUAAAAUUAGGGCCAUUACGUCGUCGUGGCAACAAAGUUGUAAAAUUAAGGACAUUACGUCGUCGUGACAACAAAGUUGUAAAAUUAGGGACAUUACAUCGUCGUGACAGUUGUAAAAUUAGGGACAUUACGUCGUCGUGACAACAAAGUUGUAAAAUUAAGGACAUUAUGUCGUCGUGACAACAAAGUUGUAAAAUUAGGGACAUUACGUCGUCGUGGCAACAAAGUUGUAAAAUUAGGGCCAUUACGUCGUCGUGGCAACAAAGUUGUAAAAUUAGGGCCAUUACGUCAUCGUGGCAACAAAGUUGUAAAAUUAGGGACAUAACGUCAUCGUGGCAACAAAGUUGUAAAAUUAGGGCCAUUACGUCGUCGUGGCAACAAAGUUGUAAAAUUAAGGACAUUACGUCGUCGUGACAACAAAGUUGUAAAAUUAGGGACAUUACGUCGUCGUGACAGUUGUAAAAUUAGGGACAUUACGUCGUCGUGACAACAAAGUUGUAAAAUUAAGGACAUUAUGUCGUCGUGACAACAAAGUUGUAAAAUUAGGGACAUUACGUCGUCGUGACAGUUGUAAAAUUAGGGACAUUACGUCGUCGUGACAACAAAGUUGUAAAAUUAGGGACAUUACGUCGUCGUGACAACAAAGUUGUAAAAUUAGGGACAUUACGUCGUCGUGACAGUUGUAAAAUUAGGGACAUUACGUCGUCGUGACAGUUGUAAAAUUAGGGACAUUACGUCGUUGUGACAACAAAGUUGUAAAAUUAGGGACAUUGUCAUCGUGGCAACAAAGUUGUAAAAUUAGGGACAUUACGUCGUCGUGGCAACAAAGUUGUAAAAUUAGGGACAUUACGUCGUCGUGGCAACAAAGUUGUAAAAUUAGGGACAUUAUGUCGUCGUGGCAACAAAGUUGUAAAAUUAGGGACAUUAUGUCGUCGUGGCAACAAAGUUGUAAAAUUAGGGACAUUACGUCGUCGUGGCAACAAGGUUGUAAAAUUAGGGACAUAACGUCGUCGUGGCAACAAAGUUGUAAAAUUAGGGACAUUACGUCGUCGUGGCAACAAGGUUGUAAAAUUAGGGACAUAACGUCGUCGUGGCAACAAAGUUGUAAAAUUAGGGACAUUACGUCGUCGUGGCAACAAAGUUGUAAAAUUAGGGACAUUACGUCGUCGUGGCAACAAAGUUGUAAAAUUAGGGACAUUACGUCGUCGUGGCAACAAAGUUGUAAAAUUAGGGACAUUACGUCGUCGUGGCAACAAAGUUGUAAAAUUAGGGACAUUACGUCGUCGUGGCAACAAAGUUGUAAAAUUAGGGACAUUACGUC
Molecule: long non-coding RNA, 2397 nt
Organism: Xyrauchen texanus (razorback sucker)
Lineage: Eukaryota; Metazoa; Chordata; Actinopteri; Cypriniformes; Catostomidae
Exons: 3
Source: RefSeq, a predicted model, not a curated record